This 1417-nucleotide long non-coding RNA is filed under the name Rattus norvegicus (Norway rat). Its description in RNAcentral is "long non-coding RNA NONRATT014364". The record is from RNAcentral. Lineage: Eukaryota; Metazoa; Chordata; Mammalia; Rodentia; Muridae.
ACAGCUGGGUGGUAUGAGGGAGGAUGCUGAGUGCAGGAGGUUGUGGGGAGGCGGGUGGUCCAGAAGGGUGCGGGGUAUGGGGAACCUAGAGCCAGCUUCAGAGAACGGAGGCAAUCCAAGGCGGACAGCCACACACCUUCCUUCUUCGGUAAGCGCUUCAACAUUCUGGACCCAUCGUUCAUUGCAAUCUUAGCCCAGUGCUGGUGCCCAGCGCUAGCCUCAGGAGGUAGUAAAAUCUGUAAAGCUUCCUGGGACACAGCAUUAAAGCGACUGCUGCUUCCCAUGUGCCAGAGGAGGAAACUCAGAUGCCUGUCCUGCCUGUCUGUGAGCAUGGUGGUCAGCAAGGUCCCCGGCGCUGUUCCUAGGCCAUGCAUCCCUGAGGACAAACCAAGCUCUCCUCGGGUCAAAGGUCCCGUGACUGUGGAGGUGGUGUGAGGCUGCCUCUUCCGUGCCACUGGACGGUGUAGCUAAAUACUGGUGUCCUGGGAGAGGCAGAGGCCAAGGGGACCUGUCCUGAGCCCGAGUCCCCUCUAGCUGUCGAGGCUCCAUGCUGUCUUCAGAGUCUCUGGCUUCCCCAAGUCAUGAACCAAAGUGCUCCCCGGUCCCUGCAGAGUGUCUCAUGCCAGGGCCCAGCAGGCUGGGACUUAUCCACACAAGCUGGGUGGAGUGAGAGAGUCCAUCCCUGUGCAUCUCAGGGCUCCUCUCCAAGAGCACAGGGUUAUUACAAAAUGCGGUAAGAAAAGAAGCCAGACCACCCACCUGAUCAAUAAAAGUGGCAAAUGAAGUCACUUUGAGAAGUUCGACAUGCCGCUGACUGCCGCGGACAGAGCCCAGAUGUGCUUGGUUCAAGGCUUUGGCAGGAGGUUGGGUGUGAAGGGGAAGGAAGGAGCACCAGUCAGGUGGAAUCUUGGGAUCUUGAGUUUUUAAGGGAGGUCACCCUCCCUGAGUAUUAGCUGCACUGGGGACUGCCUCUCGUUCUCCAGUACGCCCUCUUCCCUCCUCACCGAUGGAGCCUCAGGCUUACUGGAGAAACUUGGCUAAAUGCCACGUGCUCCCCUCCCCUUCACACUGGGGCAGGUAGUUAAGGCGUGUAAAGGGUGGUACUGGGAGAAACCUGCAGGAAAGGGCACUUUAAAAGCAGGUCCGGCUGAUGUGUAGAACACUCAAGGCUCCCUGCUCUCUUCCUGCCUGGAAUCAUGAGAGCAUGAAGAUGAGGACUUGCAGACAUGAGGGCAGAGCAGAAAGGAGCCUGAGUCUGGGCUGACGAGCCAGCCCUGGGCAGCUCAUGUCAGCUUUUCAUAUGUGAGGCGAUAAAAUACAGCCCUCUCCUGUUGGGGUUUCUGACAGGUUGUGUGCAAGUACACUGCUGUGCGUGUUAUGAUUCUUCUCGGUAUCAAGAAACAAAGCUUGUAAUGCG